GACGAACGCUGGCGGCGUGCUUAACACAUGCAAGUCGAACGGUAAGGCCCUUCGGGGUACACGAGUGGCGAACGGGUGAGUAACACGUGGGUGAUCUGCCCUGCACUUCGGGAUAAGCCUGGGAAACUGGGUCUAAUACCGGAUAGGACCACUGCCUGCAUGGGUGGUGGUGGAAAGCUUUUGCGGUGUGGGAUGGGCCCGCGGCCUAUCAGCUUGUUGGUGGGGUGAUGGCCUACCAAGGCGACGAGGGGUAGCCGGCCUGAGAGGGUGACCGGCCACACUGGGACUGAGAUACGGACCAGACUCCUACGGGAGGCAGCAGUGGGGAAUAUUGCACAAUGGGCGCAAGCCUGAUGCAGCGACGCCGCGUGAGGGAUGACGGCCUUCGGGUUGUAAACCUCUUUCAGCACCGACGAAGCGCAAGUGACGGUAGGUGCAGAAGAAGGACCGGCCAACUACGUGCCAGCAGCCGCCGUAA
RNAcentral lists this ribosomal RNA (478 nucleotides) under uncultured bacterium. RNAcentral describes it as "partial 16S ribosomal RNA". It matches the Rfam family "Bacterial small subunit ribosomal RNA", at positions 28 to 523 of the family's 1533-position model. The record is from RNAcentral.